AGCAGUGUAGCUUAAUGUUAAAGCACCUGUCUACAAAACACGAAUAAUAGCCGUUUGAUUCGGUUCAUUGCCACCA
This 76-nucleotide transfer RNA is filed under the name Nostoc sp. 106C. Its description in RNAcentral is "tRNA-Cys". It matches the Rfam family "tRNA". Rfam says of the family: Transfer RNA (tRNA) molecules are approximately 80 nucleotides in length. Their secondary structure includes four short double-helical elements and three loops (D, anti-codon, and T loops). Further hydrogen bonds mediate the characteristic L-shaped molecular structure. tRNAs have two regions of fundamental functional importance: the anti-codon, which is responsible for specific mRNA codon recognition, and the 3' end, to which the tRNAs corresponding amino acid is attached (by aminoacyl-tRNA synthetases). tRNAs cope with the degeneracy of the genetic code in two manners: having more than one tRNA (with a specific anti-codon) for a particular amino acid; and 'wobble' base-pairing, i.e. permitting non-standard base-pairing at the 3rd anti-codon position. Lineage: Bacteria; Bacillati; Cyanobacteriota; Cyanophyceae; Nostocales; Nostocaceae. The record is from RNAcentral.